GAGUUUGAUCGUGGCUCAGAUUGAACGCUGGCGGCGUGCUUAACACAUGCAAGUCGAGCGGUAACAGGCGUAGCAAUACGUGCUGACGAGCGGCGAACGGGUGAGUAAUGCUUCGGAAUCUUCCUCGUAGUGGGGAAUAACCUGGGGAAACUCAGGCUAAUACCGCAUACGAACUACGGUUGAAAGCAGGGGAUCGCAAGACCUUGCGCUAUGAGAUGAGCCGAAGUCGGAUUAGCUAGUUGGUGAGGUAACGGCUCACCAAGGCGACGAUCCGUAGCUGGUCUGAGAGGACGACCAGCCACACUGGGGCUGAGACACGGCCCAGACUCCUACGGGAGGCAGCAGUGGGGAAUAUUGGACAAUGGGGGCAACCCUGAUCCAGCGACGCCGCGUGUGUGAAGAAGGCCUGCGGGUUGUAAAGCACUUUUAGUGGGGAUGAAAAGCCGAAGGCUAAUACCUUUCGGUCUUGACCUAACCCAAAGAAAAAGCACCGGCUAACUCUGUGCCAGCCGCCGCGGUAAG
RNAcentral lists this ribosomal RNA (522 nucleotides) under uncultured Gammaproteobacteria bacterium. RNAcentral's name for it is "bacterial SSU rRNA". It matches the Rfam family "Bacterial small subunit ribosomal RNA", at positions 9 to 524 of the family's 1533-position model. Lineage: Bacteria; Pseudomonadati; Pseudomonadota; Gammaproteobacteria. The record is from RNAcentral.